AAAAGAAUUAAAUAAAAAACGAAAAUAAAGAAAAAGAAAAACAUUAGGGUUUGCUUCUUCUUCGUCAUAAACUGAGAAAAGGGUUAUUGAGAACGGUGAUUUCCUAACCUACGUUGAACGGUGAUUUCCUAAUCCACCAGUUAUGCCAUAGACAAAAGAGUUGAUGUUCUUAUGGAUGAUAUUUCGAUCGGUGUUUGGUGAUUUAGGGUUUAAGAAGAAAUUGAUGAUGAAACUUAAGGGGGAAUCGGAGGUGAAAUUGAUAAGGGUUAUUGGGAACUGAGAUUGAUGAUUAAGUUAAGACAAUUGAAGAAUUUCAGAAACUAGGGUUUGGUUUUGGGAAGAGCAGCUAAGACUGAUUCUUAUUUGUUUCCUAUCCCUAAUCUUCAAACGACGUCAACAAAUCAACAUGUGCAAUAGCAUCUUCCUUCUGAGAUUUUCUGAUUUCCCGUUGAUUUCCUGAAAAUUUAAGGGUGAUAGAAAUUUGUAAGCUCUAUAAUGAAAAGAGGGUUUUGUUUAUGUCCUUGGAAUUCGGUUUUGUGCUCAAUUAUAUGAUAGGAAUCUGGAGAAGGGAGUUUUGUACUCCAUAUUUAAGGUGAUAAUUGUCUGUGAUGCUCUUGCACAAUCUGGAGAAGGGAGCUCACAUGCAUCAUUGUGGUAACAUUCAGCACCUAGGGAUCGUGUUGAGAUAAUCUGUAGGUCUAAGAUGGGAAUUGGAACACAAGACAUAAAUAAGAAGUUGAAGGGUGAUUCUGGAAGACCUUCCACUCCUAGAAAAGACCUACAGAUUUGGGCACCAUUAACUUAUCUGGGUUUUCUUUUAGUAUCUAUAUCUAUCAUUCUCGAAUCCUUGGCAGGUGAUGGUGGUACGCUACGAACUUGCCUUAAGGAUGGGUAGAUAUGCCCAGUUCAGUUUAGCAGAGGUAUGGCCAAUAAGCUUACUGUUAGAAAAGCUACAUAUUCGAGUUUGUAUCAUUCUAUAGUUUUCAGGGGGCCAUUUUUUUAACCCGUUUUUUUAACCCAAAUACUUGGAUUGAGGUUCGUAUAAAAUGAUCAUAUGUUUGCUUCCGCUACUGUGCGUCCCUGUCCCGCGUUACAUUUGAUGAAGUUGUAACCCAAAGAAUAAUUAUUCAUUGAUUUAUUAGAUAAUGAUGUGAAUGAUGUUGUCGGGGAAGGAACGGUAACACAGUUCGAUACACUGCCUUAGUUCUUUUCUUUCCUUUUCUUUCCUUUUCUUUACUGGAUCAUCAAAGUCUAUACUUUGGUAUUUUUUGCAGCCAUAAUGGAUGGCUCCUGAAGUUAUAAUUGUUCGGGCUGAUGUGCGUUUGUUGUUUGCUUAGCAGGUGUGCUCAAUUUUUUUGUGUGUGUUUUGUUUUUUUUUUUGCAAUUUUUCAGGUUUGUAAUCGAAUUGAUCCAGUGAAGCAAUUAGGUAUUAGUAUUUGACACUUUCUGUUUCAUACACUUGAGCAAACCAAGUUCUUAACCUGCUCUAAUUUCCGAUGGAAUCAAUCAUGUGCAUCGAGACUGAUAUGCGCUACAAUUCUUGAAAAAAUGCUCCAUAUGGGUUCCAAAGCAGUCUCCAUGGGUUGGUUUUGAUACGGCAACCUGUACAAGGUAUCCACUUCAUAUAUAUUUUCUUUUAAGUAUACCUGUUUCUUCAGGAGAUCGACAUACAAAUCAUGCAAACAAACUAAUCAAUGAUGGAUGAGGGGUUCUUGAAGUAGCGAUAUGAAGAUUAACAACGGUUUGUUCCAAUCGAAAAGUAUCUCACGGAAUUCCCAAGGUACCUGACAAAGUGGCAAGUUGGUUCGUCAUGGAUUUUUCUUCCACAAUCCCAUUUGAGACUUUAAGAUUCAUGUUUACAGGAAGCAGCAGUAUGUAUAUCUCCUAUGACAUAUUGGGUUUGCUCAAAUUUUGAAGUCUAAGAAAUCUCAAACAACUUUUCACAAGGUUUGUGAACUCCUGCCUAAAGGUAAUUUGUUCCCACUGGCCAAUUAGGUCAGAGUCAACGUCCACAUCGAAUAUGGAGAAGGCACACCUUUGGCAGGUCAUAAGCCUUCCACCUGAGCAGAGGCAUCAAGCACUUCUGUAUUAGCAAACUGGUAUCUCGAUCUGUUGUCAAUCCAGAGGAACAAACAAUGAAGUGCAUACAAAGAUCAAGAAAGAAAUGAAGUCGUUGGUGGUAGUUCUGAGUUAUUGGAUUCUGAAGGCCAUGUCAGUGGGAUUACGAUGAUCACUUUCAGUUGGUAUAAGUAGUUGCAUGAUAUUUUAAAAUUUUAGUUCAUUGCACAUUGACUGAUUCCCUUUAGUUUGAGAUGUAAAUUCCAAUUCGGCAGGAAGUUAAAAUUACCAAUUCUAAGGCUAGACUAUCGGAUUGACUGCACAGACAAAAAAGCUUCCACUUAAUAUUUUGAGUAAACAUAGUUGCCAGGGGCGAAACUACAGCCCAGCAUGGGAUGGCUUAAGCCACCCUCAAACAAAUUCUUUUGGUUAAUAUGGUGAAGCCAGCCCAUAUAUAUGAAAUUUUUUUCUUGAA
Long non-coding RNA from Papaver somniferum (opium poppy), 2533 nucleotides. RefSeq lists it as uncharacterized. The record is from RefSeq and is a predicted model, not a curated record. The transcript has 9 exons. NCBI's taxonomy places the organism in Eukaryota, Viridiplantae, Streptophyta, Magnoliopsida, Ranunculales, Papaveraceae.